CAGAGGGAGGCAAAGCCGCGAGGCAGAGCAAACCCCUAAAAGCCAUCCCAGUUCGGAUUGCAGGCUGCAACCCGCCUGUAUGAAGUUGGAAUCGCUAGUAAUCGCGGAUCAGCAUGCCGCGGUGAAUACGUUCCCGGGCCUUGUACACACCGCCCGUCACACCAUGAGAGUCGGGAACACCCGAAGUCCGUAGCCUAACCGCAAGGAGGGCGCGGCCGAAGGUGGGUUCGAUAAUUGGGGUGAAGUCGUAACAAGGUAUC
This 260-nucleotide ribosomal RNA is filed under the name uncultured bacterium. RNAcentral describes it as "partial 16S ribosomal RNA". It matches the Rfam family "Bacterial small subunit ribosomal RNA", at positions 1240 to 1500 of the family's 1533-position model. The record is from RNAcentral.